UACGUAGGGGGCUAGCGUUGUCCGGAAUCAUUGGGCGUAAAGCGCGUGUAGGCGGCCCGGUAAGUCCGCUGUGAAAGUCGGGGGCUCAACCCUCGAAUGCCGGUGGAUACUGUCGGGCUCGAGUACGGGAGAGGCGAGUGGAAUUCCUGGUGUAGCGGUGAAAUGCGCAGAUAUCAGGAAGAACACCCGUGGCUAAGGCGGCUCUCUAGUACGGUACUGACGCUGAGACGCGAAAGCGUGGGGAGCGAACAGG
This 253-nucleotide ribosomal RNA is filed under the name uncultured bacterium. Its description in RNAcentral is "partial 16S ribosomal RNA". It matches the Rfam family "Bacterial small subunit ribosomal RNA", at positions 524 to 776 of the family's 1533-position model. The record is from RNAcentral.